CGGGGGGCAGCAGUGGGGAAUAUUGCGCAAUGGGGGAAACCCUGACGCAGCAACGCCGCGUGAGUGAAGAAGGCCUUUGGGUUGUAAAGCUCUUUCGGCCGGGAAGAAGGGUGAGGGUGUUAAUAGCACAUUCAUUUGAUGGUACCGGAAGAAGAAGCACCGGCUAACUUCGUGCCAGCAGCCGCGGUAAUACGAAGGGUGCGAGCGUUGUUCGGAAUUACUGGGCGUAAAGGGUUUGUAGGCUGAAAUGUAAGUCAAGUGUGAAAUCCCCGAGCUAAACUUGGGACGUGCAUUUGAAACUGUGUUUCUUGAGUAUCGUAGAGGGUGGUGGAAUUGUAGGUGUAGGAGUGACAUCCGUAGAGAUCUGCAGGAACAUCAGAGGCGAAGGCGACCACCUGGCCGAUUACUGACGCUGAGGAACGAAAGCGUGGGGAGCAAACAGGAUUAGAUACCCUAGU
Molecule: ribosomal RNA, 458 nt
Filed under: uncultured prokaryote
Description: bacterial SSU rRNA
Rfam family: Bacterial small subunit ribosomal RNA
Source: RNAcentral